This 2031-nucleotide long non-coding RNA is filed under the name Panax ginseng (ginseng). RNAcentral describes it as "long non-coding RNA (PGIN_LNC005050)". The record is from RNAcentral. Lineage: Eukaryota; Viridiplantae; Streptophyta; Magnoliopsida; Apiales; Araliaceae.
AAAUAAUAAUAUGAAUAACUUUGUCGUCUCAAUUAUUGAUUUAAUAAUAUAAAAUAUUGUGACAAUAAUUGAAUCAAUAACGUGAGAUACAAUGCAGCAAUUAUUAUGGCAAUAAUUGAAAUAAACAGUGUGACUUCUCACGUAAGCAUCAAUAAUCAAAGAUAAUGUACAAUAUCGCGUGCUACUAUGCAACCACAUGUAUUACUGUACUUUUAUCACCAGGUAUUUCAACAGCUAAUGGUAAAACUUUCGCCUUUAUUUUUAUAAAAAGUUAUUUUUGUCAUUUUCUAACUCCGACAGUAAUUCCGUUGUGUGGUCCACCAAUGAUUGUGUCGUCGUACGAAUAUUCCGUGAUAAAACGAAUAUUCCCCGAGCAAAUGAAUAUUUUAUGACAACUUGCUUACUUUGCAAAAUAUUACCCACAACUAUAACAUUAUAUCAAAUCCACACCAUAAUAUUCAAAAUAAUAUUUAGAGAACAUUAAUCUUUAUUCAUAAAAGUUGGGGUCUUACAUUGUAUGUUCCAAAUCAAAUAAGUUUGGACAAUUAAUAGUGUGGGUUGCACCCCGUGCAAUAAUGUGUUUUUGUGAGCCAAUAUUAACAUGAUUACACCCCGUGCAAUGAAGUGUUUGCUAAUGAAGUGUUAAAAAUGUUAAAGGAAAGGAAUCUAAUUUAUUCUUGUUUAUUCAAGUAACUUCAUAAUUAAUGUUCAAUUGUUGAAGAAUUUAAAAAUAAUUACUCUAUUGUUGAGAUUAAUGUUGUUUACUCAACUGCAUAUACUUGUUGAGCAAUUAAAUGCUAACCCUUGCAAAUUCGAAAUCCUUUGUAGCUACAGAAGAAAGACCUAAAUGGUCAGAUGGUGUUAAGAGAAAGAAAUGCAUAAAGAGAGAAGAUUUAAAUGUAUAGAAGGACAUGUUGAUUUAUGAGUUUUUAUUUUUAUGAUGAUAACAUAUAUUUUGUAUGGAGAUGUUUUAUGAUUUUCAGGUUAUGGACUAAUUAUGCAUGUAUCAAGAUUUCAAGUGGGUCUUCAUGAAGAAAUAUUAUUUAGAGCCACCACAUGGUUAGGUUCAUAGGAUCUCACCUAGGAAAUCAAAUGUAAGAAUUUUUAGCUCAUUUAAUUAAUUUCAAGACAAUUUUAUUUUGCUAGAAAUUAUUUUACAAAAGAAGGUUUCAUGUGCUUAAAAUUUAAAUCCUUUAAUAAGUUAUUUUUGGAAACCAAAUCAAUGGAGAAAUAUUUAGCCAUGUUUUCCAAAGGUAUUUUAAUAUCAAAGAUAUUAUCCGUUAUUUCAAAAGCUAAAAAUUUAAAUUCAAAAGGUAGAAAUAUUUAUUUGGAAGCCAUAUCAAUUAAAGAAUUAUUUUCCAAAGCUAUAUCACUAUAGAGAUAUUUUCAUAAUCUAAUGGAGCUAAUUUUUCUUAUCCAUAUCCCUUGAUUCAAGCUAUUUAGUUUUAAAUUUCAAAUCCCUUUCUUAUUAGUUUGUUCCUAUCUUUCUUUGGGAUUGCUGAAAUUGGGUAAUUGGUUUUAUUGUUGUUGGUCCUUCUUCCUAUAUGUAUCUUCCAUUGCUUAAGUUUCAAAACCAACGAAGAGAGCUUUAACAGAAAAAUUUCUAGCAAAAUUGUUCUUGCCUUGUUCUUAAUUUCUUGUGCUAGAAAUUCAUAGAUAUAUUGUAAUCAUAUUCGUUCAUACUAAAACUUGUAUACAAGCCUAGUUUGGCUUGUGUGAUCCAGUGGUGGAUAGGCCUGAACAAAAAAAAAAGCUCUAAGGUUACAGUGGUGCAAGUGGUUACAGUUGUGCAAAGAGGGCAGUGGUGUCCAACAAUAUUCAGAGCUUCUUUGUAAUAGAGAGUAUUUGUAAUUAAUUGAAUAUCUAUUUGAAUAAAGGAGUCUCCAAUACCAAUUGGUAUUGGAUGUGGAUUAAGCCAUUAGAGGUUAAGGGAAGAACCACGUAAAAAUCUUGGUGUUCUUAUUUACUGUUUAUCUUGUUGCAUUGUUUCAAUUCUGCACUUAAAUACACUUCAUAUUCUACAUUUAUAAA